GAGGAGAGGUCCAACCAACAAGAACUGCUAACUCCUGCAUCUGAGCCUAAACCCUCAGUCUCCUUA
This 66-nucleotide transfer RNA is filed under the name Xenicus longipes (Bush wren). RNAcentral describes it as "tRNA-Ser". The record is from RNAcentral. Lineage: Eukaryota; Metazoa; Chordata; Aves; Passeriformes; Acanthisittidae.